CCUACGGGAGGCAGCAGUGGGGAAUAUUGCACAAUGGGCGAAAGCCUGAUGCAGCGACGCCGCGUGAGGGAUGACGGCCUUCGGGUUGUAAACCUCUUUCGGUUGGGACGCGGUACCUGCAGAAGAAGCGCCGGCUAACUACGUGCCAGCAGCCGCGGUAAUACGUAGGGCGCAAGCGUUGUCCGGAAUUAUUGGGCGUAAAGAGCUCGUAGGCGGUUUGUCGCGUCGGGUGUGAAAACUCAGGGCUCAACCUUGGGCUUGCAUCGGGUACGGGCAGACUAGAGUGUGGUAGGGGUGACUGGAAUUCCUGGUGUAGCGGUGGAAUGCGCAGAUAUCAGGAGGAACACCGAUGGCGAAGGCAGGUCACUGGGCUCACUGACGCUGAGGAGCGAAAGCAUGGGGAGCGAACAGGAUUAGAUACCCUGGUAGUC
This 431-nucleotide ribosomal RNA is filed under the name uncultured bacterium. RNAcentral describes it as "partial 16S ribosomal RNA". It matches the Rfam family "Bacterial small subunit ribosomal RNA", at positions 338 to 795 of the family's 1533-position model. The record is from RNAcentral.